RNAcentral lists this ribosomal RNA (406 nucleotides) under uncultured bacterium. RNAcentral's name for it is "partial 16S ribosomal RNA". It matches the Rfam family "Bacterial small subunit ribosomal RNA", at positions 30 to 526 of the family's 1533-position model. The record is from RNAcentral.
AUUGAACGCUGGCGGCAGGCUUAACCCAUGCAAGUCGAGCGAGCGGCGGACGGGUGAGUAAUGUCUGGGAAACUGCCUGAUGGAGGGGGAUAACUACUGGAAACGGUAGCUAAUACCGCAUACCAUCAGAUGUGCCCCUAUGGGAUUCGCUAGUAGGUGGGGUAAUGGCUUACCUAGGCGACGAUCCCUAGCUGGUCUGAGAGGAUGACCAGCCACACUGGAACUGAGACACGGUCCAGACUCCUACGGGAGGCAGCAGUGGGGAAUAUUGCACAAUGGGCGCAAGCCUGAUGCAGCCAUGCCGCGUGUAUGAAGAAGGCAUUCGGGUUGUAAAGCACUUUCAGCGAGGAGGCGUUACCCGCAGAAGAAGCACCGGCUAACUCCGUGCCAGCAGCCGCGGUAAUAC